This 521-nucleotide long non-coding RNA is filed under the name Pan troglodytes (chimpanzee). RNAcentral's name for it is "lincRNA". Lineage: Eukaryota; Metazoa; Chordata; Mammalia; Primates; Hominidae. The record is from RNAcentral.
AGAACAAGAGAGGGUGGGAAAAUAAGAAAGGAAAAUAGAACACUUUAGGGAAAGGGAAUAGUGUGUGCAAAGAUGAAGAAGUAUAAAAGAAAAUGUAGCUUAUUCCAGAAACUGCUAAAAGGAUCAAUAUGCUGUCGUGUCAUGAGAGAGCCACGAUUCUUCUAACAUAUUUAACUGCUGGAGAGAAUGGCUCAGAAUCCCAAGUAUCAGUUUCAGCACACAGAUAAAAUAUAAGAAAGAAUUUGAGGUUGAUGUCAGAAGCAUUUCCAACAGGGCUAAGGAAGUAUAUUUUUGGAAGAUCUUUUCUUGGCCCUUGACAGAAGAAGCAGAGUAACUUUUCUUAGGUGGCAUAAUUCUUCAAAAUGUGUUCAUUUUGAAGAACAGGGGUGAUGGAUGGUAAUACACAGGCAGGGAUCAACAGUCCCAGAACUGAAGGAAGAGUUGACAAAUGUAUCAAAGAUGCCUAAUCAAAAUGUGUCCACAUUCUGCUAAAUAAAUUCUGGUUGAGCAGAACUAACGAA